GUUUGGGGUGCCCUCACUUGGGGCUGAGAUCAUACCCACUGAAUCUGAUCCGGGUAAUUCCGGCGUAGAGAACAAAAAACU
Molecule: non-coding RNA, 81 nt
Filed under: human gut metagenome
Also listed under: 1 other name
Description: TPP riboswitch (THI element)
Rfam family: TPP riboswitch aptamer (THI element) (bases 3-72)
About the family: Vitamin B(1) in its active form thiamin pyrophosphate (TPP) is an essential coenzyme that is synthesised by coupling of pyrimidine and thiazole moieties in bacteria. The previously detected thiamin-regulatory element, thi box was extended, resulting in a new, highly conserved RNA secondary structure, the THI element, which is widely distributed in eubacteria and also occurs in some archaea.
Source: RNAcentral